This 571-nucleotide small RNA is filed under the name Pongo abelii (Sumatran orangutan). RNAcentral's name for it is "retained intron". The record is from RNAcentral. Lineage: Eukaryota; Metazoa; Chordata; Mammalia; Primates; Hominidae.
ACGGCCUUCCCUAGAUCAGGGGCCAGGGCCAAAGACCUCCCAGCAGAAGAGGAGAGGAGGUUGUGUAGGACAAGCUGCUCCCGACAGAAGGAUGUCGCUGCUGAGCCUGCCCUGGCUGGGCCUCAGACCGGUGGCAACGUCCCCAUGGCUACUCCUGCUGCUGGUUGUGGGCUCCUGGCUACUCGCCCGUGUCCUGGCUUGGACCUAUGCCUUCUAUAACAACUGCCGUCGGCUCCAGUGUUUCCCACAGCCCCCAAAACGGAACUGGUUUUGGGGUCACCUGGGCCUGAUCACUCCUACAGAGGAGGGCUUGAAGAACUCGACCCAGAUGUCGGCCACCUAUUCCCAGGGCUUUACGGUUCCUGAAGCCCUGGCUGGGAGAAGGGAUACUGCUGAGUGGCGGUGACAAGUGGAGCCGCCACCGUCGGAUGCUGACGCCCGCCUUCCAUUUCAACAUCCUGAAGUCCUAUAUAACGAUCUUCAACAAGAGUGCAAACAUCAUGCUUGUGAGUCCCUUGAACUCGGUCCCAGCUGGAGUCUUGGGGUGGAGGGACCAUGGACACAUCUGGUC